Arachis duranensis is the source of this 815-nucleotide long non-coding RNA. RefSeq lists it as uncharacterized. The transcript has 3 exons. NCBI's taxonomy places the organism in Eukaryota, Viridiplantae, Streptophyta, Magnoliopsida, Fabales, Fabaceae. The record is from RefSeq and is a predicted model, not a curated record.
AAGAGAUGUUGAUGUCCUCCACCUCAUAAAAAUUGGAAUACUUUUUGUUGCAGCCACCCAACCCAUCAAUGCUUUGGCAUUUGUAUUUUUGCAGACUAUAAUCUAUCUCCUUACGUGAGAUGGUUAUUACAACCCUGGGUGAUCUGCAUGGGCUCUAUCCGGGGAUCAUUAUUGCAAAAUAAGGUUUUGAGGAUUAAGGAUAAGUCUACUGAUCAGGUUCAAACAUCCCUUUGAGAAAAUUUUGUACAAGUUGUAUGUAUUGCUAAAUAAUAAGUAGUGCCAACCCCACUUUGUCUGGAAGAAAUUGAAGAGAUAGAUAAAUGCCUAACUCGUACCUUAAUCAUGUUGGUGUUUGUUAAUUAGUUAAUUAUUAGACAUAUAUGGAAAAAUGCUAAGUAAAAAGACCUCAGCAAGAAAAACCAUUUUGAAACAUCGUCUGAAUAUAAAGAAGAAAAAAACUACUCCUCCUUCCAUGUAUCAUAAUGUUAGACAAGAGGACUGCUCUAACUUACAGUGAUUCUAAAAACGAAAAUGGUUGUUCAUAAUAUUUAACUUUGAGAUGUUUCCACUAGCAUACACGGGAACAAGUAGAAAGUUCUGAGGUGUUUCGAAUAUUUUAUUCCAUUUCAAAAUUAUAUUCCUUGAUAUGGUUAAGGGUUAUGGUUAUGUAUCUUAUGUAGUAUUGAUUUGACUAAUUAUUUUCCUAAGUAUAUUUAUAUGGAGGAUUUCAGGUAUAUAACACUUGGAUGGGUUUACCUGGUCACUGUUGGGCAUCAUAAUUGUCCUGUUUUUGUGCUGAAUUAUUUGGUCAGAGU